AAAACGACUCUCGGCAACGGAUAUCUCGGCUCUCGCAUCGAUGAAGAACGUAGCGAAAUGCGAUACUUGGUGUGAAUUGCAGAAUCCCGUGAACCAUCGAGUCUUUGAACGCAAGUUGUGCCCGAAGCCAUUAGGCCGAGGGCACGCCUGCCUGGGCGUCACAC
Molecule: ribosomal RNA, 164 nt
Filed under: Prunus mume (Japanese apricot)
Lineage: Eukaryota; Viridiplantae; Streptophyta; Magnoliopsida; Rosales; Rosaceae
Description: 5.8S ribosomal RNA
Rfam family: 5.8S ribosomal RNA
About the family: 5.8S ribosomal RNA (5.8S rRNA) is a component of the large subunit of the eukaryotic ribosome.
Source: RNAcentral